AUAUAAAUAGUAUAAUUUAUUACAUAAGUUUUUCGUACUUAAAAUACAAUCUAUUUUGUUUUAUAUA
This 67-nucleotide transfer RNA is filed under the name Tevnia jerichonana. RNAcentral's name for it is "tRNA-Glu". The record is from RNAcentral. Lineage: Eukaryota; Metazoa; Annelida; Polychaeta; Sabellida; Siboglinidae.